UCGGCAAACCUCGACAGAUUCUACGCAUCUAAUCUCGGCUGUAUAACCAUUUCCGCCAUAUUUGAACUAUUUUAAAGGUUCCGAAUGAAAAAUGGCUGCCCCCAUGGAGAUUUCUGUGGAGAGUGUAUUAUAUCAACAAACGUCACGUUUGGCAUUGGGUUUGGGGAAUUACCAGGGAAUUUUAUCAAACCAGCAGCCUUGAGACAAUAUCUCUGCUCAUUUAGGUAUAUACACUCUACAAAAGACGCAAUUUGGGACUUUUUUGUAAAAGCGACACGUUUUCCUGUUUAAAGUAAACCGGUAGCGGCAUCGCAAAUGUAUGGGCGUAGGCACAUAUCACUUACUGUCAUACAGCUGAGAUUAGAUGUAGGGUACCGGAAUCUGUCAAGAUUUGCCGAGUGGUCGAUUGCAUCACCUUUCGCGUCACAUGAUUAUGUCUUCAAUCUAUCACGUGACUUCUCGAUGUGAGUGGUGAUUGGCUAAUGAAUUCUAUAUUCGGCCGAAUGCUUAGUCGAAGCGAACACACCAGGCGAAUAUAAUUUGGUCGAAUAUAUCAAACCUGUUUGAUUCGGCCGAAUGACAGUGGACACACUAGGAAAAAACAGUUAUCAAUUUGAGAUUUCAGUGAAGUUAAACUUGAACAUAGUUGAACUGUUUGUAAGCUGGCUUGAAGACGACCAGUAGCGGAUGUAGAAGCUGUGAAGGGGCAAUAAAGGGUGUGUGGAGGGGGAGGGGGGUCUAGGACGCCAUCAAGAAUCUCACCCGACAAUGAAUGUCAACAAAAUACUGGCUAUACCGCUGAACGCCCAUUUAGCUCCCCCCCCCCUCCCCCUCUAAAAAAAAAAAAAAAAAAAAAAAAUGGGGUGCGAACGUUGAUUAAAUAUAUUUUCAAAACGUUUUACGAAUCCGAAAUCACCUAAUUUUAAGAACGAAGAAAUUGACCUACUAUCCAUAACUCUGUAACUAUGUGACCUAUGUUACUGUUUUUAUACGCCCACAUUGUUGUUGCCCCCGUCCGUCGGUCCGGCGUCCACAAUUGCUUGUGGACGCCAUAAACGCUAAAGUUAAUAUCCGAUUGACUUUAAAUUUAUACACAGUGUUUAAGGUCAUGAGACGAAGAAGCCUAUUGAUUUUCAGCGAUUUUCGAUAAUUAUUGCCAGAGUUGUGGCCCUUGAUCACUUCAAAAAAUCGUGUGGACGCUCUAGAGGUCAAAGUUAAUAUCCGAUAGACUUUAAAUAUAUACACAGUGUUUAAGUUCAUGAGACGAAGAAGCCUAUUGAUUUUCAGCGAUUUCCGAUAAUUACUGUCAGAGUUAUGGCCCUUGAUCACUUUGAAAAAUCUUGUGAACGCUCUAGAGGCUAAAGUUAAUAUCCGAUUGACUUUAAAUUUAUACACAGUGUUUAAGGUCAUGAGACGAACAAGUAUAUUGAUUUUCAAUGAAUCUUUAUGACUUGAACAGCUAAAUCCAUGAUGUUAAAAGUUUCGUAUAUUAAAAGUUAGCAUGGGGCAGAACUUUAUAAAAAAA
Patella vulgata (common limpet) is the source of this 1525-nucleotide long non-coding RNA. RefSeq lists it as uncharacterized. The record is from RefSeq and is a predicted model, not a curated record. NCBI's taxonomy places the organism in Eukaryota, Metazoa, Mollusca, Gastropoda, Patellidae. The transcript has 3 exons.